AUAGGUCUAAUUUAAUUCUUAAAGCCCAUUAGUAAAUAAAUAUAUGGUCUUUGGGAUUUAUUACGAUUAUUGUAAAUGGGCUUUGACGUAAGAGAUUUAUUAUUUUCAGAAUUAAUUAUUUUCAUGGAUAAAAUAAUUCUAUAAAAGUCCAGAAUUGGUAGUUAAGCCAAAAAAAAUACUCCGAAAGCUCUGAAAAUUCGGGAAAAAUUCUCAGAGAUAUUAUAGAACAUGUGGAACCCAAAUAAAGUAUUUGGAGAUCAUGAUGAGAUAAUAUGGAGCAUCUAAAAAUUAGAUUAUGCUCACAGAAGUGAGAACAAGUUCCAGAAAAAGCUGGAAAAUUUCCAAGAAGAUCGCAGAUAGUGUUUGAUGAACGAGGAACUAAGUGAUUUGGUUACAAAGGAAUAAUUUUAGGAAGCUCCUAAUAAAAACUUGAGCUGAGAAAUAAAAAAAAAUUGGUUG
This 459-nucleotide long non-coding RNA is filed under the name Sorghum bicolor (sorghum). RNAcentral describes it as "long non-coding RNA (SBIC_LNC016246)". Lineage: Eukaryota; Viridiplantae; Streptophyta; Magnoliopsida; Poales; Poaceae. The record is from RNAcentral.